Molecule: ribosomal RNA, 429 nt
Filed under: Bacillota bacterium
Lineage: Bacteria; Bacillati; Bacillota
Description: Firmicutes bacterium partial 16S ribosomal RNA
Rfam family: Bacterial small subunit ribosomal RNA
Source: RNAcentral
UGGGGAAUUUUGGACAAUGGGCGAAAGCCUGAUCCAGCAAUGCCGCGUGUGUGAAGAAGGCUUACGGGUUGUAAAGCACUUUUGUCCGGAAAGAAAUGGCUCUGGUUAAUACCUGGGGUCGAUGACGGUACCGGAAGAAUAAGGACCGGCUAACUACGUGCCAGCAGCCGCGGUAAUACGUAGGGUCUAAGCGUUAAUCGGAAUUACUGGGCGUAAAGCGUGCGCAGGCGGUUGUGCAAGACCGAUGUGAAAUCCCCGAGCUUAACUUGGGAAUUGCAUUGGUGACUGCACGGCUAGAGUGUGUCAGAGGGGGGUAGAAUUCUACGUGUAGCAGUGAAAUGCGUAGAGAUGUGGAGGAAUACCGAUGGCGAAGGCAGCCCCCUGGGAUAACACUGACGCUCAUGCACGAAAGCGUGGGGAGCAAACAGG